Molecule: ribosomal RNA, 253 nt
Filed under: uncultured bacterium
Lineage: Bacteria
Description: partial 16S ribosomal RNA
Rfam family: Bacterial small subunit ribosomal RNA
Source: RNAcentral
UACGUAGGGCGCAAGCGUUGUCCGGAAUUAUUGGGCGUAAAGAGCUCGUAGGCGGUUUGUCGCGUCUGCUGUGAAAGUUCGGGGCUCAACCCCGGAACUGCAGUGGGUACGGGCAGACUAGAGUGCGGGAGAGGAUACUGGAAUUCCUGGUGUAGCGGUGGAAUGCGCAGAUAUCAGGAGGAACACCAGUGGCGAAGGCGGGUCUCUGGGCCGUAACUGACGCUGAGGAGCGAAAGCGUGGGGAGCGAACAGG